CAAUUGAUGUUUCUUCUUAUGAUAUAGGUCCACACACUACUUCCAGUGACUAUUGAUCUCCUCUCCCUGUUUAAAUAAAUCAAGUUUGGAUACACCAUGAUGAUAGCCAUUUUCACAAUUUAUCCUUUAAUAAACCCAUUUUCAUGAUUCAUCCUUUAAUAAACUAAUAGAACCAUGCUUCAACUCUGUUAAAAAAAAUAAAUGCUUCAAAUAUAUACAUUCAUCUAAACUCUAUUCUUCAAAAAAAUUGAAUAAUUAAAUGUACAUAUUAAGGUAAUAAAAGCACAAAUCAAAUAUGACGGCUAUGAAUUGAAAGUCAUAGGUCCAGCAUGAUGGUCUUGGAUCUUAAAAUGGUAGAUCACUAUACAGCAAGCUGCCCAAGGGAAUCAUAGGAGAAAUUUGAAUUUAUUAUAAGUUUUAUAUUUUUCCCUAUAAACUUAAUAAUUCAAACACUACAGAACAUUCUUAUUUAUGUGCUUAUGUAGCAGUUUCCAACUAAAAUCAGAACACCAAAGUACAACUAAUAGAGAAAGUGAGUAUAAAAUACCAUUGAUAAUAUUGGAAAAACAGAAUGUGCAACAAAAAGUUGACAAAGAGUGAUAAUAUCUACUAGCUUAC
Molecule: unclassified non-coding RNA, 618 nt
Filed under: Hevea brasiliensis (rubber tree)
Lineage: Eukaryota; Viridiplantae; Streptophyta; Magnoliopsida; Malpighiales; Euphorbiaceae
Source: RNAcentral